RNAcentral lists this small nuclear RNA (107 nucleotides) under Sciurus vulgaris (Eurasian red squirrel). Lineage: Eukaryota; Metazoa; Chordata; Mammalia; Rodentia; Sciuridae. The record is from RNAcentral.
GAGCUCACUUCGGCAGCACACAUACUAAAAUUGGAACGAUACAGAGAAGAUUAGCGUGGCCCCUGCGCAAGGAUGACACGCAAAUUCGUGAAGCAUUCCAUAUUUUU